UGGGGAAUAUUGCACAAUGGGCGAAAGCCUGAUGCAGCAACGCCGCGUGAGUGAUGAGGGCCUUCGGGUUGUAAAGCUCUGUCUUUUGGGACGAUAAUGACGGUACCAAAGGAGGAAGCCACGGCUAACUACGUGCCAGCAGCCGCGGUAAUACGUAGGUGGCAAGCGUUGUCCGGAUUUACUGGGCGUAAAGGAUGCGUAGGCGGAUUUUUAAGUGAGAUGUGAAAUACCCGGGCUUAACUUGGGUGCUGCAUUUCAAACUGGGAAUCUAGAGUGCGGGAGAGGAGAAUGGAAUUCCUAGUGUAGCGGUGAAAUGCGUAGAGAUUAGGAAGAACACCAGUGGCGAAGGCGAUUCUCUGGACCGUAACUGACGCUGAGGCAUGAAAGCGUGGGUAGCAAACAGGAUUAGAUACCCUGGUAGUCCACGCCGUAAACGAUGAGUACUAGGUGUAGGAGGUAUCGACCCCUUCUGUGCCGCAGUUAACACAAUAAGUACUCCGCCUGGGAAGUACGAUCGCAAGAUU
This 524-nucleotide ribosomal RNA is filed under the name uncultured bacterium. RNAcentral describes it as "partial 16S ribosomal RNA". It matches the Rfam family "Bacterial small subunit ribosomal RNA", at positions 355 to 895 of the family's 1533-position model. The record is from RNAcentral.